AGGAACAUUGUUGGGAUUAUGAGUUUUAUCUCCAACAUAUUUCUUUCAAAUUUGAUGAUGUAUUGAAUCAAAAUUUUGUUUUCUAGUUGUUACCUUCGGUAUGAUUGGAUAUUAGAAUUUAGAUGGGUAGGGAUAUAUCUUUAGCCACAGCAAUAAAGAAAUUUAAAUGUCUUGAAACAGGAAGCAUGUCAUCUUGCUUGUUCACUUCAUUCGGUGGUCAUUUUCAAGUUCCAUAGGACCGAUAGAUGUAUCCCUGCAUUUGAUUUUCCUGAUUGGCCUUGUUCAGAAAUGUAAGAAAGGUGGCUAGCUUAACUCCCACUUUUGUAGAUAUAAGAAAGGUAGAUUGCUGUUUUUACCUCUUUUUAUAUGUCAAUGCUGGUGCCAUAUCUUGAUGUUACCUAAGCUUUUAACGUCUUAGUCCAGAAAGGUCCUGAAUUUUUCUCAUCUAUAUAGACGCUCACUUUAAAUACAUGGGUCAUCAUUCAACUACUUCCCGUUCUCUUGAUAGAUCUGGUUUAUGAGAAAGAGCAUAAGCUUAGGUUUAUGAUGAAAAUGUGUGGUUUUAGUGAUCCAUUUUGGCUGAUUUCCUAUGCUUAUUUUCUCUCCUUAUCUUCAAUCUACAUGCUGUGCUUUGUGAUUUUUGGCUCAGUCAUAAAUAGUUAAUUCCCAUUGCAUUAUGUUUACCUACGUUCCGAUGUCCCAUUAAAGUUGCAAUGCUUGUGUCUUACCGCAUUUCCCGUAUAAAGUUUACUAGAAUGCAAUCAUGUGUGCUUUUAGUGGGUUAAAUGGAGAUCACGUGUAAUUGAUGUUUGCUGUUCAUGCGUAAAUUUGCUGAUAUUGAAAUUUGGAAUUUGUCUUGGUCUAGAAAGCAUGCUUUGUUUCUAUAACCUCGAAUACUUGUGAAUUUAAUACAAAUUUUUUGUGUGAGGAGUUUGGGAUUAGGUCCUUCAUGAAAGUUGUCCUUCACAUAAAAACUAAAAAAAAAAGGUUGUAUGUUUGCCUUGCUGCUCUAUUCUACUUUCAAUUGACUUUGAUCUCUUCCAGGAUGUUAUAAAUUCACGUGUCUAGAAUUUUAGGAUGUUUCUUCAUGAAAUUUGUUCCUCAUAUGCUGAUUCACCUGCCAUAGAAAUUUUAGGAUGAAAUAGCUGACGAUUGCGUUUUUAUUGAGCCUAUGUUGAGUGUCUAGUUUCUAUGAUGAAGAAUUUAGAUGUGACAUAUAAUAAUGAUGAAUCUUGGGAUACCACUUAGAAUUUGAUCUAGAAGACUUUGUGACUUUAGUCAUUCUUUGUGAACAUAAAAGAAUGUCUUGCUUUUGAUUGUUUCGAUACGUGAUGAUUGUUUCUUUCAUUUGUAUGCACCUAGUCAUAAAUUUCUUAGAUUAGGUUUAGAUUAGGACCUUGAGGAUGGAGAAGGCAUGAAGGUGGUGGAGGUCGAUGUCCAUUCCGACCAUUGUCUUGUACUUUUUGUUUUCCCGACACAUGUCUCGGGUUUUAUGCAUUGUAUAAAGCCCGACGAGUUGCGGGUUUCCUUUC
Eucalyptus grandis is the source of this 1532-nucleotide long non-coding RNA. RefSeq lists it as uncharacterized. NCBI's taxonomy places the organism in Eukaryota, Viridiplantae, Streptophyta, Magnoliopsida, Myrtales, Myrtaceae. The transcript has 2 exons. The record is from RefSeq and is a predicted model, not a curated record.